RNAcentral lists this small nucleolar RNA (84 nucleotides) under Anabas testudineus (climbing perch). RNAcentral's name for it is "Small nucleolar RNA SNORD11B (ENSATEG00000009847.2)". It matches the Rfam family "Small nucleolar RNA SNORD11B". Lineage: Eukaryota; Metazoa; Chordata; Actinopteri; Anabantiformes; Anabantidae. The record is from Rfam by way of RNAcentral.
GCCAAGCAGUGAUGAUGAAGACUUUUAGUCACUUCGCUGAAAAUAGAUGAUGGCUUUUAAGUCACUACCUCAUCUGAGCUUGCA